This 460-nucleotide ribosomal RNA is filed under the name uncultured bacterium. RNAcentral's name for it is "partial 16S ribosomal RNA". It matches the Rfam family "Bacterial small subunit ribosomal RNA", at positions 338 to 795 of the family's 1533-position model. The record is from RNAcentral.
CCUACGGGAGGCAGCAGUGAGGAAUAUUGGUCAAUGGGCGGAAGCCUGAACCAGCCAAGUAGCGUGCAGGAUGACGGCCCUACGGGUUGUAAACUGCUUUUAUACGGGAAUAACGCGCCUUACGUGUAGGGCUUUGCAUGUACCGUAUGAAUAAGGACCGGCUAAUGCCGUGCCAGCAGCCGCGGUAAUACGGAAGGUCCGGGCGUUAUCCGGAUUUAUUGGGUUUUAAGGGAGCGUAGGCGGCAUGUCAAGCGUGCUGUGAAAUGUCCGGGCUCAACCCGGGCCUUGCAGCGCGAACUGGCGUACUUGAGUCCGCGGAAAGCAGGCGGAAUUCGUGGUGUAGCGGUGAAAUGCUUAGAUAUGACGAAGAACCCCGAUUGCGAAGGCAGCUUGCUGCAGCGGAACUGACGCUGAUGCUCGAAAGCGCGGGUAUCGAACAGGAUUAGAUACCCCAGUAGUC